AGAGUUUGAUCCUGGCUCAGGAUGAACGUUGGCGGCGUGCCUAAUACAUGCAAGUCGAACGGUAGUUAAGCAUACGUGCUUAAUGAGAGUGGCGAACGGGUGAGUAACACGUAACUGAUCUGCCCUUUAGACUGGGAUAACCUUUGGAAACAGAGGCUAAUACCGGAUGAGCUCGCGGUAGUUAGAGAGCCGUGAGGAAAGGCUUAUGCGCUAAGGGAUGAGGUUGCGGGCCAUCAGCUGGUUGGUGAGGUAAAGGCUUACCAAGGCGAUGACGGUUAGGGGACCUGAGAGGGUGGCCCCCCACACUGGGACUGAGACACGGCCCAGACUCCUACGGGAGGCAGCAGUAAGGGAUAUUGCACAAUGGACGGAAGUCUGAUGCAGCGACGCCGCGUGGGUGAAGAAGGUUUUCGGAUCGUAAAGCCCUUUUCUAUGUGACGAGAGAGGACGGUAGCAUAGGAAUAAGUGUCGGCUAACUACGUGCCAGCAGCCGCGGUAAAACGUAGGACGCGAACGUUAUCCGGAGUUACUGGGCGUAAAGCGCGCGUAGGCGGUUGGUUAAAUUACCUAUGAAANAUACAGGCUAAACUUGUAUUGGUUAGGUGAAACUGGUC
Molecule: ribosomal RNA, 614 nt
Filed under: uncultured Chloroflexota bacterium
Lineage: Bacteria; Bacillati; Chloroflexota
Description: bacterial SSU rRNA
Rfam family: Bacterial small subunit ribosomal RNA
Source: RNAcentral